RNA transcript from Vigna angularis (adzuki bean), 1458 nucleotides. It is a transcript of the gene named 3-dehydrosphinganine reductase TSC10A, with no coding region annotated. The transcript is spliced from 5 exons. The record is from RefSeq and is a predicted model, not a curated record. NCBI's taxonomy places the organism in Eukaryota, Viridiplantae, Streptophyta, Magnoliopsida, Fabales, Fabaceae.
CUCUUACUCUCGGUACUAAAAUAAAAUAAAAAUGGUAUCCAUUUUUAAAGUCGCAUAGACUUUUGCUCCCAGUGGGUAUAGUUUCGAAGGCUCAUCAUCAAUGGCGGACGCAUACUUCUUUCUUUUCUUUCUCCUUCCUCUGCUUCUUUUGGUCGUGCUCUAUUUCCUGGUUAAACCGCGACCGGUGAAGAUCCCUAUCAAGAAUCGACACGUGUUUAUCACGGGCGGAUCCAGCGGCAUCGGGCUGGCUCUGGCACACCGCGCGGCGGCGGAGGGAGCGCGUGUGUCGAUAUUGGCGCGGUCGCUGGGGAAGCUUGAGGAGGCGCGAAAUGUGAUCCGGCUGGCGACGGGGAUCGAGGUGGCGGUAUUCGCGGCAGACGUGCGGGACUUCGAGGCGGUGAAGCGCGCGGUGGACGAGGCAGGGCCAAUCGACGUGCUGCUGCUGAACCACGGCGUGUUCGUAGCGCUGGAGCUGGAGAAGAUGGAAUUGAGUGAGAUAAAGUUCACCAUGGACGUCAAUCUCAUGGGAACGUUGAACCUCAUCAAGGCCGCGCUUCCCGCGAUGAAAAAUCGGAAGGACCCGCUGCCCGCUUCCAUUGCCCUUGUUUCCUCACAGGCCGGUCAGGCGGGCAUUUAUGGCUACGUAGCUUACUCAGCGAGUAAAUUUGGUCUCCGUGGUUUAGCAGAAGCAUUGCAACAAGAGGUUAUAGCUGAUAAUAUUCAUGUUUCUCUGAUUUUUCCUCCGGAUACAGAUACUCCAGGAUUAGCAGAAGAAAACAGGAGAAAACCGGAGCUCACCAAAAUCAUUGCAGCCUCAUCUGGUUGUAUGACAGCUGAAAAAGUUGCUCAGAAAGCUUUGGAUGGUAUAAAAAGUGGCAGCUUUAUUGUUUCUUGCAAUUUGGAGGGAAUUGCGCUAUCCCUUGCAACUGCAGGUUUAUCCCCCCAGAGGUCUUUCUUGAUGGCCUUUGUUGAGGUGGUUGCUGCUGGAAUUCUACGGAUUGUUGCACUAGGCAUGCAGUGGACUUGGUAUGGAAGUAUAGAGAAAUAUCACAGCCAAAGGAAAGCUAUCCGGCAUCUCCGUUAAUUUGUGUCGGCACGGCAAAUGGUGUGAGAUUGGGAGAAUCAAUUUUGCCCGAUUGGACCAGAGAGGUUCAACCCGGAGUAGCUGAAACAGAGUCCUAUUCCCCAUUUUAGGAGUUAUAUGCAAGAUACUGGGAUGCUGCCUUCUUCCACUCUGAAAUUCAAAUGAAAGUUAACGAAUUAGAUCUCGAUAAACAUCAAGUUGAUUAAGUUUUUUUUUUUUUAAAACUUUUCUUCCGUUUUCUAAUGUUUCCUAACAUAUCUUAAGUAAAGACAGGUUAAGUUACAUGUUCAGGUUCAGUAAUACGCUAUGGAUUGGAUAGGAUUGAUGUAUAUUUUCUUUAAAAAAAAUUUGGUCCUCAUUUCUUUUUACGUUUU